This 510-nucleotide ribosomal RNA is filed under the name uncultured bacterium. RNAcentral describes it as "partial 16S ribosomal RNA". It matches the Rfam family "Bacterial small subunit ribosomal RNA", at positions 28 to 507 of the family's 1533-position model. The record is from RNAcentral.
GACGAACGCUGGCUGCGUGCUUAACACAUGCAAGUCGAACGAAGAGCGAUGGAAGCUUGCUUCUAUCAAUCUUAGUGUCGAACGGGUGAGUAACGCGUAAUCAACCUGCCCUUCAGAGGGGGACAACAGUUGGAAACGCCUGCUAAUACCGCAUACGAUCUAAACUCGGCAUCGAGGAUAGAUGAAAGGUGGCCUCUACAUGUAAGCUAUCACUGAAGGAGGGGAUUGCGUCUGAUUAGCUAGUUGGAGGGGUACCGGCCCACCAAGGCGAUGAUCAGUAGCCGGUCUGAGAGGAUGAACGGCCACAUUGGGACUGAGACACGGCCCAGACUCCUACGGGAGGCAGCAGUGGGGAAUCUUCCGCAAUGGACGAAAGUCUGACGGAGCAACGCCGCGUGAGUGAUGACGGCCUUCGGGUUGUAAAGCUCUGUUAAUCGGGACGAAAGGCCUUCUUGCGAAUAGUGAGAAGGAUUGACGGUACCGGAAUAGAAAGCCACGGCUAACUACGUG